This 369-nucleotide ribosomal RNA is filed under the name uncultured bacterium. Its description in RNAcentral is "bacterial SSU rRNA". It matches the Rfam family "Bacterial small subunit ribosomal RNA", at positions 29 to 426 of the family's 1533-position model. The record is from RNAcentral.
AACGAACGCUGGCGGCAUGCCUAACACAUGCAAGUCGAACGAGACCUUCGGGUCUAGUGGCGCACGGGUGCGUAACGCGUGGGAAUCUGCCCUUGGGUUCGGAAUAACUCACCGAAAGGUGUGCUAAUACCGGAUGAUGUCGAAAGACCAAAGAUUUAUCGCCCAGGGAUGAGCCCGCGUAGGAUUAGCUAGUUGGUGAGGUAAAGGCUCACCAAGGCGACGAUCCUUAGCUGGCUGAGAGGAUGAUCAGCCACACUGGGACCGAGACACGGCCCAGACUCCUACGGGAGGCAGCAGUGGGGAAUAUUGGACAAUGGGCGAAAGCCUGAUCCAGCAAUGCCGCGUGAGUGAUGAAGGCCUUAGGGUUGU